UGUCUCCUGACACUUCAUAUGGUGACAGAAUUUUCGCUUCCUCAGGAAGUUCACAUGAGGCCAUGGUUUGUAGAUGGAGGACCGUGAAGUUAGAUCAUUCCCAUCCAAACCAGCGAAGACAAAGAGAGAUUUUUUUUUUUUUUUCUGUUGGUCUUAGUGCUUUGGGGGCAGGAGUAUUUAGAGGUCAUGCUUCCUUUUUCCUCCCUUCAGUAAUGGCUUGGCCCUUUCUGUCUGAGAAGGGAUCGGUGGCAGCAGAGAGGUACUUCUGUUGGUGCUUCUCCUUCCCUUGUGUUCUUUGGGUCUGCCUGGUGAUUUCUGAGGAAGGCCUUAAGCCCCUUCUCUUUAGUUGAUAUUUGCUCUGGGCCCUGGCAGCCGAUAGAGAGCCUUAGGGUUCCCUCCAGGGGUGCCAAGACUAUCUGCCUCUGUCUUCAAGAAACUCUCCUUUGCAGGCGUUUAUUCGACGAUGCUUGGCCUACCGAAAGGAGGACCGCAUUGAUGUCCAGCAGCUGGCCUGUGAUCCCUACUUGUUGCCUCACAUCCGAAAGUCAGUCUCUACAAGUAGCCCUGCUGGAGCUGCUAUUGCAUCAACCUCUGGGGCGUCCAAUAACAGUUCUUCUAAUUGAGACUGACUCCAAGGCCACAAACUGUUCAACACACACAAAGUGGACAAAUGGCAUUCAGCAGCGGGUUUGGAACAUAGCGAAUCCGAAUGGAUCUGAUGAAACCUGUACCAGGUGCUUUUAUUUUCUUGCUUUUUUCCCAUCCAUAGAGCAUGACAGCAUCGAUUCUCAUUGAGGAGAAACCUUGGGCAGCUCCGGCCAGGCCUUGUAGGAAAAGGCCCCGCCCGAGGUUCCAGCGUCAACGGCCACUGUGUGUGGCUGCUCUGAGUGAGGAAAAAAUUAAAAAGAAAAACUGGUUCCAUGUACUGUGAACUUGAAAACAUGCAGACUCAGGGGGGUCCCUGAUGCAGUGCUUCAGAUGAAGAAUGUGGACUUGAAAAUACAGACUGGGCUAGUCCAGUGUCUAUAUUUAAACUUGUUCUUUUCUUUUAAUAAAGUUUAGGUAACAUCUCCUGAAAAGCUUGUAGCACAAAGGCUCAGCUGGGGAUGGUGUUUGACUUCGGAGGAAAAAAGUUGCUAUUGCCCGUUAAAGGCACUAGAGUUAGUGUUUUAUCCCUAAAUAAUUUCAAUUUUUAAAAACAUGCAGCUUCCCUCUCCCCUUUUUUAUUUUUGAAAGAAUACAUUUGGUCAUAAAGUGAAACCCGUAUUAGCAAGUACGUGGCAAUGUUCAUUCCAAUCAGAUGCAGCUUUCUCCUCCGUCUGGUCUCCUGUUUGCAAUUGCUUCCCUCAUCUCAGUAGGGAAAAAAUUGAGUGGGAGUACUGAGAUGUGUGGGUUUUUGCCAUUGGACAAAGAAUGAGGUUAGAAGACUGCAGCUUGGAGUCUCUCUAGGUUUUCAACUAUUUCUUCACAAUUUGAACACUUGACGGUUGUCCCUUUUAAUUUAUUUGAAGUGCUAUUUUUUUAAAUAAAGGUUCAUCUGUCCAUGCAGUCCUCUUGGAUUCUCUGAAUGUAGUAACUAUGAAGCUAUGCCAAAGGUAGGCAGAAAAUGGGCUUGGGAGCCAGACACUCCAGGGAUCAGUAGUUCCUACCCAUAGUCUUUGUGUGCUUGCUAAAUGGUGUACAUUUCUUGUUAACCACGUUAUUAAAACUUGAUCAGCACAUAAGCUUUCUUCUGUUAGAUCUUUUGGCAGCAAACAACCUUCCCCCCAAGCCUCUGAAUUUUGUGGGUGUGUGGUGGUGUGUGUCUGUGUGUGCAUGUACACACACACUUUGUCUAGCUCACUUUAAAAGAUUCAUCAAAUGGAAUUUUAAAAAUAAUCUGAAAAGAAAUAGAUAUUUCAGGCCGGGCCUGGUGGCUCACGCCUGUAAUCCCAGCACUUUGGGAGGCCGAGGUGGGUGGAUCACGAGGUCGGGAGUUCGAGAUCAGUCUGGUCAACAUGGUGAAACCCCAUCUCUACUAAAAAUACAAAAAUUAGCCUGGCGUGGUGGCAUGUGCCUCUAGUCCCAGCUACCCGGGAGGCUGAGGCAGGAGAAUUUCUGGAACCCAGGAGGCGGAGGUUGCAGUGAGCCGAGAUGGCACCACUGCAAUCCAGCCUAGGCGACAGAAUGAGACUCUGUCUCAGAAAAAAAAAAAAAAAGGAGAAAUAGAUGUUUCAAAUAUGAACAUUCUUUUGGCACCAAUUUUCUUUUUUAAUUUGGUUGUUUCUGAGAUGUAUGAUCAACUGAAGAUGGAGCUGAAAUGGGAGACGGGUGGCCCCACCGUGCCCUUGAAACAGCAGAGCACUCCUCAGUAGAGAGGGAGGGAGCCAAGAGCCUGGACAUGUGGUCGCCAGCUUGGAAUGUUACUGACAUAUGUGGCGAGGGCUUAGCCAGAAAUAUUUAAAGAUGUAGUAUUCCGGCCUGUGAAUUGUCUGGGCAGGGAGGGGGAGUCAGAAAGGGUAGAGAGCUCUCAACUCAUGACUCUAGUGUUCCUUUCACAUGUGAACAGUGUCACUGAUGACACAUUUUCUAGGACCUUCGUUUGUUUUGUGGACCUGCCUCAGUCUCCUCAGUAUCAGGCGAUCUUAAGGGAAGAUGGAGUGUUUCAAAUUGGAGAGAAGUUCAUGGGUAGGUAUCGUCCUGUGGAAUUCUGAAUGCAAGGAAGUCAACCCCAGAGGCCUUGGUACCCCCAGCUUUCUAAAACUACUUUAUUACAAUUUAUAUGUAUAUACCCAUGCACAUAUAAACGUGUGCAUUUAUGUAUGUGUGUAUAGUACCUUUUUUAAAAAAACAUUUCCUCCAAGCUGCUAAGCAAAGGGUCUCCCAGGUCGAGCACAGUGCUGAGAGGAUGGUGUCUGCAUAAUGAAGACAUGGAUGAAGCUGAGACCGUGUUCAAACUCACUGAAAACAAUGAAGUUCUAUUCCUUUUUUCUUCCUCUCCAAUGAUCUUGCAGUUGAUUUGUUUCUUUUUUAAUUUUUUAACAUUUUUUUAACGUUGAAAAAAUGCUGCGUCUUUCUUUAAGCCUUCCCAGUAACUUCCUGCCUUUUUUUUCCCCGUGGGCUUUUAAGUGAAGCUGCAGGAUUUUAUCUUUCAAUCUGCCCUUUCUACCCUUAUCCUAUUGAAAGGAUGCCCUCUUCCCUUGCUUUUUUGGUCUAGGGCCUGUUUGGAGCUAACUAGGCUUGGCUGAGUCUGGGCAAGACCUUCUUCCGAGGCAUGGACAAGCCCCAGAGAACGUGCAGAACAUUGACCUUUCCAUUGACUGUCUUUCAAGCAGCCAGUGAAAUCACUAAGUGGGGUUCUUCCAUGACAUAUUUUGUUAAUAUGGGUUUCACUUUUUCCAAGAAUAGUCCCUUGUUGCCACAAUGUUGAUUUACUUUACACAAUGACAGUAUGUAUUAAUUUGUAAUUAAACCCAUCCAGAUUGUUUUAGCCUUUUCCCAAUGGGGUGGGGGAGGGAAGAAGGAUAUUAAAAUAAGUUUUAAGAAGCAAA
Molecule: small RNA, 3530 nt
Filed under: Pan troglodytes (chimpanzee)
Lineage: Eukaryota; Metazoa; Chordata; Mammalia; Primates; Hominidae
Description: retained intron
Source: RNAcentral